GUCAAAUAUUAUUUUAGAUGUUGCUGUGAAUGUAUCUGAAAAGAUAUGAUUAACAUUUAAGUCAGUGGACUUUGAGUAAAGCAGAUGACCCUCCCUAAUAUGGGUGGGCCUCAUCCAAUCAGUUGAAGGCCUUAAGAGAACAAGGAUUGACCUCCCCCAAGCAAGAAGAAAUUCUGUCAGCAGACUGCCUUUGGACUCAAACUGCAACUCUUCCUUGGGUCUCUAGACUGCUAUCCUACGCUGAAGAUUUCGGAUCUGAGCCUCCACAACCAUUGCCUGGCUCAGAAGGACUCAACACACGUUUGUUGAAUGAAUGAAUAAAUAAAUCAUGGGAUUGCUGCUGUGAAGACAAAAUGGGCUGGAUGGUCACCAUUGAAUGGAUGUUUUCCCUGCCCUGUGGUUGACCUUUGCCCAGGAAACUACUAUGUCCUUUUCUGACUCUCAGCUGAUGUCAACCGAUCCGUUAUGGAGUAAAAGAUGAAGAAAAGCAGAGGGGUUACAGAGCGUGGCUUCCCAGCUCUGUCACCGUUGUGGAAAUCACCUUCCCUGGACCUUGGUUUUUUCAUCUGCUAAUUGGGGGCAAUGAAACAAACCUCCCAGGAGAAAAGAUGAAAUGAGGACCUGCCAAAUUGUCAACGACUCACCUCUCUGCCCUAGGCCUUUCUUUGAUUCUGUUAAUCCCACAGAAACAGAAGCUUCAGGACAUCCAAAGACUGAGAGCAGGCAAAGACCCUUUGUCCCGGUCUAAGACAAAGCUAAGCAAUUUCCAAACAUAGCCCAACCACUUCCAGCCUUCUGCCCAAGAUGAAGGUCAUGGAGGUUUGCCCAUACCAGUGGGAAAUGUGGAGCUGGGACCCAAGGACAUCUUCUCAGCCAGCCACCGUGCAUGUGACUUCCCUGGUUGAUCCAGCCAACUGCAGGACCAAGAUAUUUCUAGUGCAAGAUAGGAGAGAUGAGUAAUAGAGACCACAGCCCUUGGAAACCUUGAUCAAGUAGAAUAAGAACACCUUCCUCAGCUCUCUUUGCAAGUGGCCAAAGCUUAGUGGCUCUGGGAGAAAAAUUCAACAGGAAAACCUACAGAAGUGCCUUGAGAAAGGACCACAGUAGCCUCUUCUAAGCCAAAUUGAGUAAAUAAAAAUGAGUGCUAUUAAAAUAUCCAAUUAAUCUAAACACAAA
Molecule: long non-coding RNA, 1176 nt
Filed under: Equus caballus (horse)
Lineage: Eukaryota; Metazoa; Chordata; Mammalia; Perissodactyla; Equidae
Description: lncRNA (ENSECAG00000038004.3)
Source: RNAcentral